CACCAGGAGCCCCCAGGUUUGGGGGUGUCCCCCCCACUUGGGGGUCACCAGGACCCCCCAGGUUUGGGGGUCUCCCCCUUGCCCGGGUGGGUCCCUCUUGGGGGUCCCCAGGGUUUCCCCCCCCCCAUUUUGGGGCCAAUUGUGACUUUUCGGAGCCCCGAAUUAAUCGGAUUUUGUCCGAGCCUGGGGAGGGAACACGCUCAGGGACAAUGGGGGGGCACCAGCUGUCCCUGUCACCUGUCCGUGUGUCCCCGUCACCUGUCCGUGUGUCCCUGUCACCUGUCCGUGUGUCCGUGUCACCUGUGUGUCCAUGUCACCUGUCUGUGUGUCUGUCAGUGUCACCUGUCUGUGUGUCCCUGUCACCUGUCUGUGUGUCCCUGUCACUUGUCCGUGUGUCCCUGUCACCUGUUCGUGUGUCCGUGUCACCUGUGUCUGUGUCACCUGUCCGUGUGUCCAUGUCACCUGUCCAUGUGUCCAUGUCACCUGUCUGUGUGUCUGUCUGUCAGUGUCACCUGUCCGUGUGUCCGUGUCACCUGUCUGUGUCUGUGUCACCUGUGUGUCCAUGUCACCUGUCUGUGUGUCUGUCCAUGUCACCUGUCCGUGUGUCUGUCCCUGUCACCUGUCUGUCUGUGUCACCUGUCCGUGUGUCCAUGUCACCUGUCCGUGUGUCCCUGUCACCUAUCUGUGUGUCCGUGUCACCUGUCCGUGUGUCUGUGCCACCUGUCUGUGUGUCCCUGUCAUCUGUCCCUGUGUCCGUGUGUCUGCGCCACCUGUCUGUGUGUCCGUGUGUCCCUGUCACCUGUCUGUGUAUCCCUGUCACCUGUCUGUGUGUCCGUGUCACCUGUCCAUGUGUCUGUCCCUGUCACUUGUCUGUGUCACCUGUCCGUGUGUCCGUGUCACCUGUCUGUGUGUCCGUGUCACCUGUCCAUGUGUCUGUGCCACCUGUGUGUCCGUGUCACCUGUCCGUGUGUCUGUGUCACCUGUCUGUGUGUCCCUGUCAUCUGUCCCUGUGUCCGUGUGUCUGUGUCACCUGUCUGUGUGUCGGUGUGUCCGUGUCACCUGUCCGUGUGUCUGUCCCUGUCACUUGUCUGUGUCACCUGUCCGUGUGUUCCUGUCACCUGUCCAUGUGUCUGUGCCACCUGUGUGUCCGUGCCACCUGUCCAUGUGUCUGUGUCACCUGUCCAUGUCCAGCUGUCCCUGUCCCAUGUCCCACAUUGUGUCUGUCCCUGUCCCAUCCCUGUCCCUGUCCCCACAUGUCCCCGAUGUCCCCACAGCGCCGUUGUCACCGUUCGUUGUCACCGUUUGUUGUCACCGUUCGCUGUCACCGCUGUCACCGUCCCCACCAGGACACCGGCGGCGGUGGCAGGGGGUGACGCUGUCACCACCCGACCUGGUGCCACCCCCCUGGGGUGUGACAGUGACACCGGUGACACCUCCGGGCUGCCAGGAGCAGCAG
RNAcentral lists this long non-coding RNA (1456 nucleotides) under Lonchura striata (white-rumped munia). RNAcentral describes it as "domestica (Bengalese finch) lncRNA (ENSLSDG00000009060.1)". The record is from RNAcentral. Lineage: Eukaryota; Metazoa; Chordata; Aves; Passeriformes; Estrildidae.